Molecule: ribosomal RNA, 253 nt
Filed under: uncultured bacterium
Lineage: Bacteria
Description: partial 16S ribosomal RNA
Rfam family: Bacterial small subunit ribosomal RNA
Source: RNAcentral
UACGGAGGGUGCAAGCGUUAUCCGGAUUUAUUGGGUUUAAAGGGUCCGCAGGCGGACUAGUAAGUCAGGGGUGAAAGCCGGCAGCUCAACUGUCGAACUGCCUUUGAUACUGCUAGUCUUGAGUAAAAUUGAAGUAGCUAGAAUGUGUAGUGUAGCGGUGAAAUGCAUAGAUAUUACACAGAAUACCGAUAGCGAAGGCAGGUUACUAAAUUUUAACUGACGCUGAGGGACGAAAGCGUGGGGAGCGAACAGG